Molecule: long non-coding RNA, 508 nt
Organism: Biomphalaria glabrata
Lineage: Eukaryota; Metazoa; Mollusca; Gastropoda; Planorbidae
Exons: 2
Source: RefSeq, a predicted model, not a curated record
UGCUUUACGUCGGACCGCACAGUGGAAGCUUACAGAUCACCUAGAUUACUAAAGAAACAUCAUGGGUUGAGGGGGGGGGGAGACUUUCACAAGUACAAGUUUGAGAACCACUACCCUAAUCUGCACUUGAAUAAAACCUGCUAGUUAUGAUUUCCUUGAUGUAAAAGACGGAUGUUUAUGUUCCUUCAGAGUUGAAGAUAGUUUACUUCCUAGUCCAAGCCUCCCGCAGGAUGACGGGAGGUGGGGAGCGGGCAGGGUUUGAACCCGAGACCAUCGAUAAAUCCAAAUGACAGUCCGCAAACCACACGACCAGGCAGCCAUUCUGAGACUUCCUGAGACUUGACACUUUCUUUAAUGCACUCACUUCUCUUUCAUGUGUAAUAGCAAGUCCACAAUACUUCAUCGUCUUCAAAAUGUUACUGGCAGAUCUGAAAGUUAAAUAAAGUUGACUAUUAAUAUUUUUUAAAUAAAAUGCAAACUGUAAAUAAAUAUAAUAGUAUCAAACAUU